GAUGAACGCUGGCGGCGUGCCUAAUACAUGCAAGUCGAGCGAACAGACGAGGAGCUUGCUCCUCUGACGUUAGCGGCGGACGGGUGAGUAACACGUGGAUAACCUACCUAUAAGACUGGGAUAACUUCGGGAAACCGGAGCUAAUACCGGAUAAUAUAUUGAACCGCAUGGUUCAAUAGUGAAAGACGGUUUUGCUGUCACUUAUAGAUGGAUCCGCGCCGCACUAGCUAGUUGGUAAGGUAACGGCUUACCAAGGCAACGAUGCGUAGCCGACCUGAGAGGGUGAUCGGCCACACUGGAACUGAGACACGGUCCAGACUCCUACGGGAGGCAGCAGUAGGGAAUCUUCCGCAGUGGGCGAAAGCUUGACGGAGCAACGCCGCGUGAGUGAUGAAGGUCUUCGGAUCGUAAAACUCUGUUAUUAGGGAAGAACAAAUGUGUAAGUAACUAUGCACGUCUUGACGGUACCUAAUCAGAAAGCCACGGCUAACUACGU
RNAcentral lists this ribosomal RNA (496 nucleotides) under uncultured bacterium. Its description in RNAcentral is "partial 16S ribosomal RNA". It matches the Rfam family "Bacterial small subunit ribosomal RNA", at positions 28 to 506 of the family's 1533-position model. The record is from RNAcentral.